UUACCGGCUUAAAUGGCAGGAAACUCCUUCGGGCCAAGGUGCUGCAUGGUUGUCGUCAGCUCGUGCCGUGAGGUGUCGGGUUAAGUCCCAUAACGAGCGCAACCCUAUCUUAGUUGCCAGCGGACGGGACUCUAGGAGACUGCCACCGUAAGUGGAGGAAGGUGGGGAUGACGUCAAAUCAGCACGGCCCUUAUGCCGGGCUACACACGUGUUACAAUGGAGUACAAGGGGCACCGCGAGGGAUGCAAUCUCGAAACUGUCUCAGUUCGGAUCGGAGUCUGCAACUCGACUCCGUGAAGUUGGAUUCGCUAGUAAUCGCGAUCAGCAUGCGCGGUGAAUACGUUCCCGGGCCUUGUACACACCGCCCGUCAAACCAUGGAAGCUGGGGGCCGAA
Molecule: ribosomal RNA, 394 nt
Filed under: uncultured bacterium
Lineage: Bacteria
Description: bacterial SSU rRNA
Rfam family: Bacterial small subunit ribosomal RNA
Source: RNAcentral